GAUGAACGCUGGCGGCGUGCUUAACACAUGCAAGUCGAACGAAGCACUUUAUUUGAUUUCCUUCGGGACUGAUUAUUUUGUGACUGAGUGGCGGACGGGUGAGUAACGCGUGGGUAACCUGCCUUGUACAGGGGGAUAACAGUUGGAAACGGCUGCUAAUACCGCAUAAGCGCACGUCAUCGCAUGAUGCAGUGUGAAAAACUCCGGUGGUAUAAGAUGGACCCGCGUUGGAUUAGCUAGUUGGUGAGGUAACGGCCCACCAAGGCGACGAUCCAUAGCCGACCUGAGAGCGUGACCGGCCACAUUGGGACUGAGACACGGCCCAAACUCCUACGGGAGGCAGCAGUGGGGAAUAUUGCACAAUGGGCGAAAGCCUGAUGCAGCGACGCCGCGUGAGCGAAGAAGUAUUUCGGUAUGUAAAGCUCUAUCAGCAGGGAAGAUAAUGACGGUACCUGACUAAGAAGCACCGGCUAAAUACGUG
This 481-nucleotide ribosomal RNA is filed under the name uncultured bacterium. RNAcentral describes it as "partial 16S ribosomal RNA". It matches the Rfam family "Bacterial small subunit ribosomal RNA", at positions 28 to 507 of the family's 1533-position model. The record is from RNAcentral.